RNAcentral lists this unclassified non-coding RNA (247 nucleotides) under Rhizophagus sp. (in: glomeromycetes). Its description in RNAcentral is "partial contains 5.8S ribosomal RNA and internal transcribed spacer 2". The stretch from base 1 to 65 matches the Rfam family "5.8S ribosomal RNA", at positions 84 to 154 of the family's 154-position model. The record is from RNAcentral. Lineage: Eukaryota; Fungi; Glomeromycota; Glomeromycetes; Glomerales; Glomeraceae.
GUGAAUCAUCAAAUCUUUGAACGCAAAUUGCACUCUCUUCGGAGAGUAUGCCUGUUUGAGGGUCAGUAUUAAUAAAAAUUGGUGUGUUUCUUCUUUGUGAAGCACCGGAGUUUGGGUACUCGUAAUAUAUCCUUUAGGUUUUAAGAGGCUUUAAAUUUACUUUUUUUUGUGCAUUUUAUUAGAUGUACAUAAAUUUUUUUUUUUUAUUCGUUUAUCUUUUUGCCCAAAUUACUAUUAGAUGCAACCA